RNAcentral lists this ribosomal RNA (253 nucleotides) under uncultured bacterium. RNAcentral's name for it is "partial 16S ribosomal RNA". It matches the Rfam family "Bacterial small subunit ribosomal RNA", at positions 524 to 776 of the family's 1533-position model. The record is from RNAcentral.
UACGUAGGGCGCAAGCGUUAUCCGGAAUUAUUGGGCGUAAAGAGCUCGUAGGCGGUUUGUCGCGUCUGCCGUGAAAGUCCGGGGCUCAACUCCGGAUCUGCGGUGGGUACGGGCAGACUAGAGUGCGGUAGGGGUGACUGGAAUUCCUGGUGUAGCGGUGGAAUGCGCAGAUAUCAGGAGGAACACCGAUGGCGAAGGCAGGUCUCUGGGCAUUAACUGACGCUGAGGAGCGAAAGCAUGGGGAGCGAACAGG